Molecule: transfer RNA, 72 nt
Filed under: Monascus purpureus
Lineage: Eukaryota; Fungi; Ascomycota; Eurotiomycetes; Eurotiales; Aspergillaceae
Description: tRNA-Met
Rfam family: tRNA
About the family: Transfer RNA (tRNA) molecules are approximately 80 nucleotides in length. Their secondary structure includes four short double-helical elements and three loops (D, anti-codon, and T loops). Further hydrogen bonds mediate the characteristic L-shaped molecular structure. tRNAs have two regions of fundamental functional importance: the anti-codon, which is responsible for specific mRNA codon recognition, and the 3' end, to which the tRNAs corresponding amino acid is attached (by aminoacyl-tRNA synthetases). tRNAs cope with the degeneracy of the genetic code in two manners: having more than one tRNA (with a specific anti-codon) for a particular amino acid; and 'wobble' base-pairing, i.e. permitting non-standard base-pairing at the 3rd anti-codon position.
Source: RNAcentral
AGUGGAUUGAUGUAAAGGUUAACAUAUAUGGCUCAUGACCAUGAUAUUUAGGUUCAAAUCCUAAGUCCGCUA